CCUACGGGAGGCAGCAGUCGAGAAUCAUUCACAAUGGGGGAAACCCUGAUGGUGCGACGCCGCGUGGGGGAAUGAAGGUCUUCGGAUUGUAAACCCCUGUCAUGUGGGAGCAAAUUAAAAAGAUAGUACCACAAGAGGAAGAGACGGCUAACUCUGUGCCAGCAGCCGCGGUAAUACAGAGGUCUCAAGCGUUGUUCGGAAUCACUGGGCGUAAAGCGUGCGUAGGCUGUUUCGUAAGUCGUGUGUGAAAGGCGCGGGCUCAACCCGCGGACGGCACAUGAUACUGCGAGACUAGAGUAGUGGAGGGGGAACCGGAAUUCUCGGUGUAGCAGUGAAAUGCGUAGAUAUCGAGAGGAACACUCGUGGCGAAGGCGGGUUCCUGGACAUUAACUGACGCUGAGGCACGAAGGCCAGGGGAGCGAAAGGGAUUAGAUACCCGGGUAGUC
This 446-nucleotide ribosomal RNA is filed under the name uncultured bacterium. Its description in RNAcentral is "partial 16S ribosomal RNA". It matches the Rfam family "Bacterial small subunit ribosomal RNA", at positions 338 to 795 of the family's 1533-position model. The record is from RNAcentral.